RNAcentral lists this ribosomal RNA (460 nucleotides) under uncultured bacterium. Its description in RNAcentral is "partial 16S ribosomal RNA". It matches the Rfam family "Bacterial small subunit ribosomal RNA", at positions 338 to 795 of the family's 1533-position model. The record is from RNAcentral.
CCUACGGGGGGCAGCAGUGAGGAAUAUUGGUCAAUGGACGAGAGUCUGAACCAGCCAAGUAGCGUGAAGGAUGACUGCCCUAUGGGUUGUAAACUUCUUUUAUAAAGGAAUAAAACGAGGCACGUGUGCCUUUUUGCAUGUACUUUAUGAAUAAGGAUCGGCUAACUCCGUGCCAGCAGCCGCGGUAAUACGGAGGAUCCGAGCGUUAUCCGGAUUUAUUGGGUUUAAAGGGAGCGUAGAUGGGUUGAUAAGUCAGUGGUGAAAGGUUGCGGCUCAACCGUAAAAUUGCAAUUGAUACUGGCAGUCUUGAGUACAGUUGAGGUAGGCGGAAUUCGUGGUGUAGCGGUGAAAUGCUUAGAGAUCACGCAGAACACCGAUUGCGAAGGCAGCUUACUAAACUGUGACUGACAUUGAUGCUCGAAAGUGUGGGUAUCAAACAGGAUUAGAUACCCGGGUAGUC